UCUUAUACAUAAACACGUGUCUAUGGAAGAUGAAAGCCUUCAUCUACGUUACUAUUCAUCUGGCGAAGAUGAAUACAGCAGCAAAAGUCAGAAAGGGGAAACAACAACCAAUGAUAAUAUGGCAGGAGCAUGUGGCGGGCCAGAGGAUAUACCCGAUGAGUCCAUGAGUGCUUUGGAAUGCAGUAGAGUAACAGUCAGUCGCUUUAGUACACCGUCAAUUCGAAGUUAUUCUAAUACCCCAACCAAUUUGGCAAGUACACCAUGUUCCAGCAGGACAAUCAUUCCGACUUUCCUUAGAACACCUUUAUCCGGAGAAGUUCGUUCUAGCAGGUCACUUACUUCUGUCACAGAGGGUAUAUCAAGAAAAGAACAGACUACAGCAUCAGCAAACAAGAUUGACACUUUAACAAAGAAGUCAUCUAAAUGAAAAGGCAACUGGUAAAAGUGCAAGAAAAACAAAUUAAUGUUGAAAAGAAAGUGGAUAUUAUGAUUCAAAUACUACAAUCAAAAACAAAUGAACGAAAAAAGGGAAGCCAAAAGAUUAACGUCCCUGCACAAAUUGCACAAUCAAGAAGGGAUGGUUAUCAGCAGGGUAUUACUGAAAAGGAUUUCAUCUGGAGAAUAAAGAACGAAACUGGCAGUAUUUCAAAAGAACAAAGAGAAGUCUGGAUUCAUCAUAGAAUUUGUAAAAGGCCCAAUAUCCUGAUGAAGUGGAGGGUGUUGUUAGAGGAUGGAUAAAGACAAAUUUUGAAUCGUUCAAAGCAAAGAAACGAAGAGACGAAACUGGUAAACAAAAAGAACAUAACAGGAAAAUGGCUGUGUACAGCAAGAUGAGAAGAAAAUUAAACAACAGAAAAGAGGCCAUAAAAGUAAAAGUCCAGUAUACCAGAGGAACAAAAAGAAAAGGGCUCGAAAAGCCUUGUGGUGCAGAACAUGUCUUAUGAACAAACAGAUUCAUAAGACGAAGGAUCGUUUAUCGUCAGACCUCUGCCAUGGAGGUCUGACGAUGUUGAUAAAUUAGUAAAAAAAAACUAAGCCAAAAGCAUGAUGAUCAACUAACCAAGAGAAGCAGACGGCAGCACCAUAAACGAAAGGUUGGGGCAGUUUCCUCAAGGAUAAAACCAGAAGUCGUGCCAGGACAUGAAUGGGUGUUUAAAUAGUUUAAAAAUAAUGUCAAUGAUUAAACUUUAUUCGUUUUAAGUAUGCAAGUUUUACCGACCAAAGUAAAUGCUACAUGUAAUUGUUAAUAAUUUUUACACAAUUAUUUGUCCAAAACUAAAAAAACAAAAAAUCUGAUAUAUCGUUCUAUUCUUAUAUUAACAUAUUUCAGUCAUCACGAAAUCAAAUAGAUGCGAACAGAAAGAGAAAAAAUACAUCUUCAUGUCGGAUGUCAACAUACCGUCUUCAACAACAACAAGCGGUUCGAAGGGGAACGUUUUUCAUAAAAAAUAGUAAAGAAAAGUGCUUCGCGAAACAACAGUAAUACUAUUGUCGUAAUGGGCAAAACUAUUUAAAAAUAACACGAACAAUGUACAUUUCAUUGGCAAAACAAAAUAUAAUAACUUUUUUGAUUUGUAACCUAGCAUCACGGAAAAUAAAUGUUAAAAAAAUAUUUUUUUAUAGAAUCUUCAUUUUUAGAUGGAAAAUCUUGUUUUUUUUUAUAAAUAUGGAAGUGAUACCGAGAAAAUAAGCAGUGUAUUAUUUGCACAUAGUAGUAAAAAAAAAGAAAACAAAAUGGUAAUUCUUCGAAAUAGUAAGAAACUUGGUAUAUAUUAAAUUUCAAUGUUUUAAAUAUUUCUGUUGUGCGUAAUUAUACAAUAUAAACAAGAAAAAAACUAGAUAGCAGUAAAUUUUAUCUGGUACCCUGAUAUAAGCAAUCAUACAAUGCAUGUAUACAACAGUUGGUUUUACAUUUAAAAUCCUUGUUUUAGUUGUGAAGCUCUUCAUUGUGUAUUUUUUAUAUUAUAUUGAUGUCCACGCGAGCAUAAUCAAAUAUAUAUUUUGAAAUUAAUUGCACUGAUAAAACAUAUAGACAUGUACCUGGGAUCUUAUAUGUGAAUUUUUUUUUUCUUCAAUUGAUUAAAAACAGUAAGCAAUGAAAGGGAAACAACUCUUGUUAAAAUAAGAAUAUUUUUCGUAUCUUUAAAAAUUGAAGAAAUUUGUUGUUGGUUUUUAGC
This is a long non-coding RNA of Mytilus californianus (California mussel), 2177 nucleotides long. RefSeq lists it as uncharacterized. Lineage: Eukaryota; Metazoa; Mollusca; Bivalvia; Mytilida; Mytilidae. The transcript has 6 exons. The record is from RefSeq and is a predicted model, not a curated record.